Molecule: ribosomal RNA, 239 nt
Filed under: uncultured bacterium
Lineage: Bacteria
Description: partial small subunit ribosomal RNA
Rfam family: Bacterial small subunit ribosomal RNA
Source: RNAcentral
AGAAUCAACGCUGGCGGCGUGCCUAACACAUGCAAGUCGCACGAGAAAGGGUAGCAAUACCUGAGUACAGUGGCGCACGGGUGAGUAACACGUGAAUAAUCUACCUCCGAGUGGGGAAUAACUGAGAGAAAUCUUAGCUAAUACCGCAUAAUACCCACGGGUCAAAGCAGCAAUGCGCUUGGAGAGGAGUUCGCGGCAGAUUAGUUAGUGGCGGGUAAUGGCCCACAAGACGAUGAUCU